RNAcentral lists this ribosomal RNA (2931 nucleotides) under Shigella flexneri. RNAcentral's name for it is "23S ribosomal RNA". It matches the Rfam family "Bacterial large subunit ribosomal RNA". Lineage: Bacteria; Pseudomonadati; Pseudomonadota; Gammaproteobacteria; Enterobacterales; Enterobacteriaceae. The record is from RNAcentral.
GGGUUGUGAGGUUAAGCGACUAAGCGUACACGGUGGAUGCCCUGGCAGUCAGAGGCGAUGAAGGACGUGCUAAUCUGCGAUAAGCGUCGGUAAGGUGAUAUGAACCGUUAUAACCGGCGAUUUCCGAAUGGGGAAACCCAGUGUGAUUCGUCACACUAUCAUUAACUGAAUCCAUAGGUUAAUGAGGCGAACCGGGGGAACUGAAACAUCUAAGUACCCCGAGGAAAAGAAAUCAACCGAGAUUCCCCCAGUAGCGGCGAGCGAACGGGGAGCAGCCCAGAGCCUGAAUCAGUGUGUGUGUUAGUGGAAGCGUCUGGAAAGGCGUGCGAUACAGGGUGACAGCCCCGUACACAAAAAUGCACAUACUGUGAGCUCGAUGAGUAGGGCGGGACACGUGGUAUCCUGUCUGAAUAUGGGGGGACCAUCCUCCAAGGCUAAAUACUCCUGACUGACCGAUAGUGAACCAGUACCGUGAGGGAAAGGCGAAAAGAACCCCGGCGAGGGGAGUGAAAAAGAACCUGAAACCGUGUACGUACAAGCAGUGGGAGCACGCUUAGGCGUGUGACUGCGUACCUUUUGUAUAAUGGGUCAGCGACUUAUAUUCUGUAGCAAGGUUAACCGAAUAGGGGAGCCGAAGGGAAACCGAGUCUUAACUGGGCGUUAAGUUGCAGGGUAUAGACCCGAAACCCGGUGAUCUAGCCAUGGGCAGGUUGAAGGUUGGGUAACACUAACUGGAGGACCGAACCGACUAAUGUUGAAAAAUUAGCGGAUGACUUGUGGCUGGGGGUGAAAGGCCAAUCAAACCGGGAGAUAGCUGGUUCUCCCCGAAAGCUAUUUAGGUAGCGCCUCGUGAAUUCAUCUCCGGGGGUAGAGCACUGUUUCGGCAAGGGGGUCAUCCCGACUUACCAACCCGAUGCAAACUGCGAAUACCGGAGAAUGUUAUCACGGGAGACACACGGCGGGUGCUAACGUCCGUCGUGAAGAGGGAAACAACCCAGACCGCCAGCUAAGGUCCCAAAGUCAUGGUUAAGUGGGAAACGAUGUGGGAAGGCCCAGACAGCCAGGAUGUUGGCUUAGAAGCAGCCAUCAUUUAAAGAAAGCGUAAUAGCUCACUGGUCGAGUCGGCCUGCGCGGAAGAUGUAACGGGGCUAAACCAUGCACCGAAGCUGCGGCAGCGACGCUUAUGCGUUGUUGGGUAGGGGAGCGUUCUGUAAGCCUGUGAAGGUGUGCUGUGAGGUAUGCUGGAGGUAUCAGAAGUGCGAAUGCUGACAUAAGUAACGAUAAAGCGGGUGAAAAGCCCGCUCGCCGGAAGACCAAGGGUUCCUGUCCAACGUUAAUCGGGGCAGGGUGAGUCGACCCCUAAGGCGAGGCCGAAAGGCGUAGUCGAUGGGAAACAGGUUAAUAUUCCUGUACUUGGUGUUACUGCGAAGGGGGGACGGAGAAGGCUAUGUUGGCCGGGCGACGGUUGUCCCGGUUUAAGCGUGUAGGCUGGUUUUCCAGGCAAAUCCGGAAAAUCAAGGCCGAGGCGUGAUGACGAGGCACUACGGUGCUGAAGCAACAAAUGCCCUGCUUCCAGGAAAAGCCUCUAAGCAUCAGGUAACAUCAAAUCGUACCCCAAACCAACACAGGUGGUCAGGUAGAGAAUACCAAGGCGCUUGAGAGAACUCGGGUGAAGGAACUAGGCAAAAUGGUGCCGUAACUUCGGGAGAAGGCACGCUGAUACGUAGGUGAAGCGACUUGCUCGUGGAGCUGAAAUCAGUCGAAGAUACCAGCUGGCUGCAACUGUUUAUUAAAAACACAGCACUGUGCAAACACGAAAGUGGACGUAUACGGUGUGACGCCUGCCCGGUGCCGGAAGGUUAAUUGAUGGGGUUAGCGCAAGCGAAGCUCUUGAUCGAAGCCCCGGUAAACGGCGGCCGUAACUAUAACGGUCCUAAGGUAGCGAAAUUCCUUGUCGGGUAAGUUCCGACCUGCACGAAUGGCGUAAUGAUGGCCAGGCUGUCUCCACCCGAGACUCAGUGAAAUUGAACUCGCUGUGAAGAUGCAGUGUACCCGCGGCAAGACGGAAAGACCCCGUGAACCUUUACUAUAGCUUGACACUGAACAUUGAGCCUUGAUGUGUAGGAUAGGUGGGAGGCUUUGAAGUGUGGACGCCAGUCUGCAUGGAGCCGACCUUGAAAUACCACCCUUUAAUGUUUGAUGUUCUAACGUGGACCCGUAAUCCGGGUUGCGGACAGUGUCUGGUGGGUAGUUUGACUGGGGCGGUCUCCUCCUAAAGAGUAACGGAGGAGCACGAAGGUUGGCUAAUCCUGGUCGGACAUCAGGAGGUUAGUGCAAUGGCAUAAGCCAGCUUGACUGCGAGCGUGACGGCGCGAGCAGGUGCGAAAGCAGGUCAUAGUGAUCCGGUGGUUCUGAAUGGAAGGGCCAUCGCUCAACGGAUAAAAGGUACUCCGGGGAUAACAGGCUGAUACCGCCCAAGAGUUCAUAUCGACGGCGGUGUUUGGCACCUCGAUGUCGGCUCAUCACAUCCUGGGGCUGAAGUAGGUCCCAAGGGUAUGGCUGUUCGCCAUUUAAAGUGGUACGCGAGCUGGGUUUAGAACGUCGUGAGACAGUUCGGUCCCUAUCUGCCGUGGGCGCUGGAGAACUGAGGGGGGCUGCUCCUAGUACGAGAGGACCGGAGUGGACGCAUCACUGGUGUUCGGGUUGUCAUGCCAAUGGCACUGCCCGGUAGCUAAAUGCGGAAGAGAUAAGUGCUGAAAGCAUCUAAGCACGAAACUUGCCCCGAGAUGAGUUCUCCCUGACCCUUUAAGGGUCCUGAAGGAACGUUGAAGACGACGACGUUGAUAGGCCGGGUGUGUAAGCGCAGCGAUGCGUUGAGCUAACCGGUACUAAUGAACCGUGAGGCUUAACCUUACAACGCCGAAGGUGUUU